UACGUAGGUGGCAAGCGUUAUCCGGAAUUACUGGGCGUAAAGCGCACGCAGGCGGUCUUUUAAGUUUGACGUGAAAGCUCCCGGCUUAACUGGGAGAGGUCGUUGAAGACUGGGAGACUUGAGGCAAUGAGAGGGGUGUAGAAUUCCUGGUGUAGUGGUGGAAUGCGUAGAUAUCAGGAGGAACACCGGUGGCGAAGGCGGAUCUCUGGGCCAUUACUGACGCUGAGGAGCGAAAGCGUGGGGAGCGAACAGG
Molecule: ribosomal RNA, 253 nt
Filed under: uncultured bacterium
Lineage: Bacteria
Description: partial 16S ribosomal RNA
Rfam family: Bacterial small subunit ribosomal RNA
Source: RNAcentral